CUGAAGUGUUCUCAGGAAGGUUCACCAGGUGGGAGAGAAGCUUCUCCUCAGGCCUAUCGUUUUCUCUAAUGGCUUAUAGCUGGUUGGAAA
Molecule: long non-coding RNA, 90 nt
Organism: Gopherus evgoodei (Goodes thornscrub tortoise)
Lineage: Eukaryota; Metazoa; Chordata; Testudines; Testudinidae
Exons: 3
Source: RefSeq, a predicted model, not a curated record